Molecule: transfer RNA, 75 nt
Filed under: Nocardiopsis terrae
Lineage: Bacteria; Bacillati; Actinomycetota; Actinomycetes; Streptosporangiales; Nocardiopsidaceae
Description: tRNA-Leu
Rfam family: tRNA
About the family: Transfer RNA (tRNA) molecules are approximately 80 nucleotides in length.
Source: RNAcentral
GCCCUGGUAUGCCAACAGGUAGAGCACAUCGCCUCAAAAGCGAUGCCAGUGUGGGUUCGAAUCCCACCCAGGGUA